Molecule: long non-coding RNA, 1060 nt
Organism: Bombus terrestris (buff-tailed bumblebee)
Lineage: Eukaryota; Metazoa; Arthropoda; Insecta; Hymenoptera; Apidae
Exons: 2
Source: RefSeq, a predicted model, not a curated record
UUUAAUAAGCUUGUUUCUAUUAUCUCCUGCAGAAUUAUUAUACUUGCUAAUUCAUAGUUGGCCAUUUAUAAUCCUAAUACGUAUGAACACUCAACACCAAUUAGAACAAAUCAAUCAAUUAUAUCAUGUUAAAAUAUAUAAAAUAUUAUAUCAUGCGUGUAUCAUGUUAUUAAAAUAACAAUGUUCCAUUAACCGGUAUCAUUUUUCAAAUUACUUCAAAUUAAAUUACUUUAGUUAAAAAGAGAUAUUGUAAACCUUGAAACAUGGUGAUUUAUUACGAAGUUGUGAAUUUAUUCAAACAACUCUUUGAAGAGUUUUUGUAUUUGACCAUUGAAGCCAUUAACGCAAAAUAAAAAUUCAUUUAACUCAGGUUCAUUAGCAAUAACAAAAUUGCAAAAUUAUAACUGACAAUAAAGAAAUCGAAUGAUCGUGACUAAUGAUGAUCUUGGCAAUGCACGACAGAGUUGAAGGUUGCAUAAAAUGAUCUUUCAUAUGGUAAUAACUAUAGUAUAAAUAACAAUGGCAAGACGCGGUUAGGUGACAAAUAUUUUGUAUCUUUUAUUCAUAUUUGUAUAUUUUAGGGUAUAACUAAAAAGUUUUAUUAAUACAGAAUUAGUUCUAUGUUCUGUUUAUUUUCUGCACUGAUUUUGUAAAAUACACUUUUAUAUAAUAUCUGUCUACGUUGACGAGGAAUUAUAGAGAAAGUGAGUAACUCACUUUUCCUUUUUAUUUUGUAUGCGAGAUUUUGUUGGAACGUCAUGAUCCUCUUGUUAUAAGUUUUACUUUCAGACAAAUGGUACGAUGCAACACGGCGUAGUCAUAGAAUCCAUGUGGCCAAUAGGCAACGAAAAUAGGCGAAUGUAGAAAGUAAAUUCACGACGGAGAAAUUCACGUCGAAAGGAUGGAUCAGGCAGCAUCACUAACUACCAACGACUGAUCGCUUUUCGAGCAUGUUCCGGUUAAUUUUUCCAUAAAAUGUAAACGAUCGGUUGAUGAUAUACACGUGUCGUACAUUGUUAAUUAUAUAUGUACAUAAAUACCUAGUUAGGUAAUAUUCUCA